Molecule: ribosomal RNA, 447 nt
Filed under: uncultured bacterium
Lineage: Bacteria
Description: bacterial SSU rRNA
Rfam family: Bacterial small subunit ribosomal RNA
Source: RNAcentral
UGGGGAAUAUUGGACAAUGGGCGAAAGCCUGAUCCAGCAAUGCCGCGUGAGUGAUGAAGGCCUUAGGGUUGUAAAGCUCUUUUACCAGGGAUGAUAAUGACAGUACCUGGAGAAUAAGCUCCGGCUAACUCCGUGCCAGCAGCCGCGGUAAUACGGAGGGAGCUAGCGUUGUUCGGAAUUACUGGGCGUAAAGCGUACGUAGGCGGUGACUCAAGUCAGAGGUGAAAGCCUGGAGCUCAACUCCAGAACUGCCUUUGAAACUAGGUCGCUAGAAUCACGGAGAGGUGAGUGGAAUUCCGAGUGUAGAGGUGAAAUUCGUAGAUAUUCGGAAGAACACCAGUGGCGAAGGCGGCUCACUGGCCAGUUUCUGACGCUAAAGUGCGAAAGCGUGGGGAUCAAACAGGAUUAGAUACCCUCGUAGUCCCUGAGCGGGCUGGCAAGGCGCAU